RNAcentral lists this transfer RNA (62 nucleotides) under Carausius sp. RNAcentral's name for it is "tRNA-Gly". The record is from RNAcentral. Lineage: Eukaryota; Metazoa; Arthropoda; Insecta; Phasmatodea; Lonchodidae.
AUUUAUUUAAUAUAUUUAGUAUAUUUAACUUCCAAUUAAAAAGACUGUUUACAGAAUAAAUA